AUUGAACGCUGGCGGCAUGCUUUUACACAUGCAAGUCGAACGGCAGCGCGGGGGCAACCCUGGCGGCGAGUGGCGAACGGGUGAGUAAUGCAUCGGAACGUAUCCUGUAAUGGGGGGAUAACGUAGCGAAAGUUACGCUAAUACCGCAUACGCUCGAGAGAGGAAAGUGGGGAUCGCAAGACCUCACGUUAUAGGAGCGGCCGAUGUCCGAUUAGCUAGUUGGUGGGGUAAAGGCCUACCAAGGCGACGAUCGGUAGCUGGUCUGAGAGGAUGAUCAGCCACACUGGGACUGAGACACGGCCCCAGACUCCUACGGGAGGCAGCAGUGGGGAAUUUUGGACGAAUGGGCGAAAGCCUGAUCCAGCCAUGCCGCGU
RNAcentral lists this ribosomal RNA (375 nucleotides) under uncultured bacterium. RNAcentral's name for it is "bacterial SSU rRNA". It matches the Rfam family "Bacterial small subunit ribosomal RNA", at positions 30 to 402 of the family's 1533-position model. The record is from RNAcentral.